UCAAAGGGAAAUGCACAUUGCCUGAUCGAGUAGACUUUCGGCAAUCUUUACAUCUCCUUUCUUUUGAAAUCGAUUCGCCUAUAUUGAAUUUUCUGCAGAAUAUUCAGUUGCGUUUGAUGAAAUACCGAUACGUUUUUCAGUUGCUUCCACUUGCUCCACGUCCUGCAUUUUCUAUUAACAGCUAACUUCAGUUUGUCUCUGUUUGAUAUGUCGAUCAGAAAAUAUGUAUCUCCGAAUGGAGACACGAGGGCCUGCAGAUGCUGGUUUACAAAAAAAACUCAAUUUGUUGGAAUAACACAUCGUGUCAGGCAGCGUCUCUGGAGAACAUGGAUAGGUGACGUUUCAAAUCGCCCCCCUUCUUCAAACUGAUGCUGCCUGACCCGCUGGGUUACUGCAGCCCUUUAUGUCUGUAUCUCUAAAUGUUGUGAUGAAAACAUAGUGAUCUAUUAAAGUGAUGAAAAAUGUCUUCACGUGUGAAUUUUCCACCUGGCCAGAUCAGGGCUUUGGGUGUUUUGUAAUGAGGGCACAGGAGCAGAGUGGAUUAAAACAAUAGGCUCAUUCACGUUGACAACGGCUGAAUGGAAUAUUGAAAUGUGUUAUUUGCUUUCUAUAAUUAAUUAGUUAUUUUCUAAUGUUUGCUAUUUGUGUCCUUGUUUAACAGUCGCACAAUUCCGUCGGAAUAGGCUACAUAUUUGGAUAAUGUCGCCAAGAUUAACACAUUUAACUUCCCAUUCAGAUUUUUGAAAACAGAUUUAAACGUGAUAUUUCAUCCACGGGAAUUUUCUUCAGUCACAGAUCAGUCCACCCGCAAGGCUCGGGUCUUGUGUACUGCAAUUCAGAAACAGAUUAUUAAUCUGAAUUUAUCAGAGGUAUAGGGCGGUCACUGUUGGGGCAGAGUACAUCGGAGUCCGGAGAGUAUAAACUCCUUGAGGUGAACAACAGCAUCCAAAGCUGCAGCUUUUGCUGACUGAAGCCGCACACAGAUUCUUGCCGCUGAUAGUGAUCAGUUGCAGGUAUUUUUAUCCACCAUGUCACACUGUGAACUGAGCAUAUUUAUAAAAUGUAGUUAGUAUCCUGUUGGUGGAAAGGUUUUAUUAAUUUUCGCUGAUAUUGACGCUGACAUUUCCACACAGGGUCAAUGAUCUUCAAAUGCGUCACAUUAUAUAUUAACGGAGUUUUCAGUUUGGCACUAUGCGUGUCCGGCUAUUAGUAGCAACACAUUUAUUUCUCGGGGCAUUUGUACAUUCUCCAUUCUGUUUCGGUGGAGAAUCGCAGUUAGAGAGAUGUUGCAAUUUUAUUUAAAUUGCUUUUCACUUGUUCUAUGUUGGUUAAAAGUUCAGUGCAGAUUUCCGUCACAAAUUUCGCCUUGAUAUUUUAUCUCCUACAUAUACCUCGUGUUAAAUACAUAAUGAGGCAGUGAGACGCGCAAACAGAACCUUCGGCGGGGCCGCAGCUUCUGAGGAAAGUAAAACAGUCCACGUUGGGACUGAUGUACAGAACUCACCUCUGUUUUCUCUCUGUUGAGAGUUUCAGAGUUUUACUUCUUUGUUUUGAAGAUUUAUCUCAUUUGAUGCUUUAUAGAUAAAUUCAGGCAUAUAUUCCGCUGUUGUUUCUCCAUUCCCGUCCACCUCAUUAUACAAAUCAGAAAACAAAAGCAGGACAUAUUCAUCCGUGAAUUAUCGGCAGAAAUUGGGCGCUGGCUAAAUCAAACACCAACUUUGCUUCUGAUUUUGUCGUUUAGAUAACAUCACGUCAUUGAAUAUUGUUGGAGCCUGUGUAAUUGACACCACGUUGGCAUCUAAGUAAAUGUGUAGGAAGGAACUGCAGAUUCUGGUUUAAACAAACAACAUGGAAAGACCCCUUGACCACCGAGUCUCAGGCGAGCAGCAAACAUCCAAUUGCAUCAUUAAUCCUGUUUUAUAUUUCCCGUUCUCAUCAAUUCCCCGAAGAUACUGCCACUCAUGCACAUGAGGGAAUAUUUACAGUGGGUAAAUGCACGUUUUUGGAAUGUAGGACAAAAACAGAACGCGCGGGGGAAACCCACACAGGCACUAGGAGAACGUGCAAAAUCCACACUGACAGCACCCGAGGUCGGCAUUGAACUCGGGUCUAUGACGCUGCCUGCAGUGGCUCUACUGGUUGGAAGGAGCACGUUAUCGGUAUCCUCUAUUUAAUUUUACUACCGCUGCUUCCACCCAGUUGUAGCGAUCUCGGUUCAUUCCUUACCACCGGUGCUGUAUAACACGCUAUUACACUUGCAUCUUCCCUGUGACUGUGCGCGUUUGCCCGGGUGCUCGCGUUUCUUCGCGCAUCCCAAUGAUUUGUUGCUACGUAGUUUAAUUACCUACUGUAAAUUAUCUUGAGUAGAAUGGUCAAACGGAUGAAAGAAGGGUUGAUGGGCCCGAAUGAAAGGAAAUAAGGAGAGGGUAAAUUAAAUCAACGAGACUGUUGUACAGUGCUUGGUAUGGAGCCGAUGGGCUGAAUGGUCUCCUUCUUGUCCUUAGAAGUUUAGAAUGGGAACUGUGUUUUAUACAUGAUGUGUAAUGGUACUGCUUCCGUGUGCAUUAAAUACUUGAAUAAUCGUAAUACACGUCUGAGAAAAUAUGAUCCUAAUGAUUCCCAAAUCGUCAGAUACGAUUGUGCUGUUUAUAUUAUUAUUACUUCGUGAGAUAUAACACUAAAUUAAUGAGCCUAUUGUGCAUGCGAUCAAUUGUCCACUGCAUUGUCCACGGGCCGAGUUUGUGCAAUCGGUGAAAGGCAUAGAAUUGAAUAACAUUAUCUAGAUUCACAAAUUGUAACGCGGGUUUGAAACUGUGAACGUAAAUAGACUUUCCCCACUUCUUGAAAAUCGGUUAAAGGAAAAUGGCAACUGGCGAGACAGUAUCUGUUCCUGGAGCCAAGUGGAUAACAGCACUCAGGCGUGGGGAGCAAGUCGUGCCCAGUUAUUGCUGGACAACGCAGGGCACAAACGAACCAACGUGUAACGUUGGAAUAUCAUUCAAGCAUUCUCCACAAGCAAAUCUGAAAAUAAAUAGAGUCAUAGAGUCGUAAAUAUUAGCAUCGCCGCACCUGUAUUAAGAUACUGGAAAGUAGUAUAGAAAUCGGGGGCAGAAUAUCUUCAGUAGUGUGGGAUCAGGUCAUAUGUCCAUCAUGUGGUAGACGCUGUUGAACAAAGAAAAAAUAUCCUGCAAAUGCAUCGGAGGGAAUAUCAUCGUAAAUGUUGUUGGAGGGGAAAUGAAGGAGUGGCUGUCCGCAGACAAUUAAAAUGAUGGAGUUUGGCACACGGGUCAGUUCACUUUGUAUCGCCUGUGGAAAGUAAAAUUGAAAUGAGAAUCUGAACUCGUGACAGUGUGAACCUCACAGACAGGAGCUAUUUCAAGACUGGGUUUUUUUUUUAAACUGUCAUAUGCACCGAAAACUGAAAAAAAAUGAAAACUAUUUUUUAGGGGAAUAAGGAUUGGGUUGAUCACUGUGAAUUGCAUUAUAAAAUUUCCCAUGCGAAAUAUCAGAGUGGCAACACAAUGUAUUUUCAAUCCUACGUAAAAUGUGCCCGAACCUGAUAGUUCACCAGAGGCGAUAGGAGAGUUGUCGUGGCCCGACGGCCCACUUUCCAUGUAUAUUGUUCCCUGUCGUUCUAAAGGGUCACCCUGGUGUAGGAAGGAUGCCAUUAAGAUGGAAAUAAUGCAGUGAAGAUUUACGAGAACGUUUCCAGCACUUAAGGACCCGAGCUGUAGAGAGAGAUUGGGCAAGCUAGGACUUUAUUCCUUGGAGCGCAGGAGACCAAGGGGCGAUGGAGGCGCAUAUAAUCACGAGAGGGAUUAAUAAGGUGAAUGGCACAGAGUAUUUUAAACCAGGAUAGGAGAAAUUAAAAUAACAGAGGCUAAAGGUUUAAGGGAUCACAGUUUAAGGAUAAGGGGGAAAUCUUUUAGGACCGAGGUGAGGAAAACCUUUUUCACACAGAGAGUGGGGAAUCUCUGGAAUUCUCUGCCGCAGAAGGUAGUUGAGGCCAGUUCAUUGGCUAUAUUUAAGGGGGAGUUAGAUGUGGCCCUUGUGGCUAAAGGGAUCAGGGGGUAUGGAGAGAAGGCAGGAACAGGAUACUGAGUUGGAUGAUCAGCCAUGAUCAUAUUGAAUGGCGGUGCAGGCUCGAAGGGCCGAAUGGCCUACACCUGCACCUAUUUUCUAUGUUUCUAUGUUUCUAAGAUGAGACGGGAAAGGAUCCAGAGGGGCGUUUUUUCCAGACACAGGGUGGUGGGUAUAUGGAACAAGCUGCCAGGGGAGGCUGCUGGGGCAGGUAUUUAAGGUAUUUACUGCGUUUAAAAUUCAGUGAUCAGGUACAAGCAUUCGAACGUUUUAGAGAGACAUGGGCCAAACGUGGGCAAAUGGAACUUGCUUAGAUGGGAUAAUCUGGCCGUCAUGGACCAAAUUUACCACAUCGGUAAAUUGUAUCCAGAUCUCUGUAGAUCUAACAAUACAUGUCAUUACAAAAGAGACAGGAUACGAUUUUUUUGACUGCUGAUACUCAUUUACAGUAACUUUUAGAUGUUACUUUUUUAAAGAUGCUUUAUUAAAGCAGGUGGGAAGGUGAAACAAUUCUCUGUAGCGGUUCGGAACGCUGCCUCUCAGGUUACUAUCGGGACUUUUUCCGGUGAUGGUUUCAUUAAUGAGAUGCCCACAUCCCCAUGGACCCAUUCGCUCCAACAUCCCAACCCCAUCACUCCACCCGUCACACAGUCAAAUCUCAUUCUUUAUUUCUCAUUUCAGGCCGCCCCGGGGAUUGUCAGGCGGACCCUUCAGGUAACCUCGCUUAACUUUCACUGCGUUAAGAGUGCGGCUACUGAGACUGAUUGUUACUGAAGACCUUUAAUGCUACUUGCGAGGUGACUGCCGUCUACAGACGGAGAGAUGAUCAGUAAUGUCCCUGAAGCGCGCAGUGUGGGGAGUCGACUCUGCUGACAUGGUUCCCGGUCCCAAGCGUGUUCCCACUGCUCAUCCCACUGUGGAGUCCCAGUCCGGAUCUUUCACCUUUGGCGUCCAAUUCCAGGAAUGCCUUCACACCUCUAACACGUUUGGGUUCCAUUGCCUGUCACAUGAGCUUUGAGUACAGCGGGGCACUGACCCGCGCAGCUCAUCAGCCGCUCUCCCGAGAAUGAAAACGAACCUGCAGUUGAACUUGGAGACACAAGGAACUGUAGAUGCUGGUUUAUAAUAAAAAAUCACAGUGCUGGUGUAACUGGGUUGGACAGGCAGCAUCUCAGGAGAACAUGGGUGGGUGUCCGCUGAGUUACUCCAGCACUCUGUGUCCGCAGCUCACCCUGCCUGCUCGGGCGCCGCUUUCAUCCCAAGAAUGACCGGGUGAUCCCGGUUCUCCGGACGGUUACCAGCUUACUGCAUAUUGUUGACACUGUUAACAGUUCAUUCGGGGUCUGCCGCUCCCGUUGAUCAUUCCGUGAAAGCGUGAAGUUGAGGCUGGUGAACGGGGGCAGUCCAUGCGCCGGGAGAGUGGAGGUUCACUACAAGGGGAACUGGGGGACUGUGUAUGAUGGCGGCUGGGACCUGCAGGACGCGGCGGUGGUGUGUCGGGAGCUGCGCUGCGGCGCCGCGGUGAAAGCCCCGCGCGGAUCUCACUUUGGACCGGGGUCCGGACCCGUUGUGACGUUGUAUGUUGACUGCAGCGGGAACGAGGCCGCUCUACGGGAGUGUGGAUCAGGGCCAUGGGGGGACUAUGGCUUUCCACACUCCAACGAUGCCGGCGUUAUCUGCGAAGGUAAACAUCAGUUUUUUCUCUCUUUGAUCCACAGUUUGGUGAUUUCCGGGAUGCCCUGGAUGUAAAUGACUCGGACUGACCGCCCGCGGCGAGUGGUGUGAAAUUAAAUCCAGUGUCUGUCCGUUUUAUUCCUGUCCAAUUGGAAUCAAAUUUCGCUUCUGGAUCUCACAUUCUGGUUUGAAUGAAACAAACACAACCGGGAGCAUUAAAUACUCUCACCCGGUACAAUGACGGGGACAAGAAACAAGCGGCUGGAGGAACUGAGCUGGUGAGAGAGGAAUAGGGGGGUUGCACGUCGGGUCAUCGGGUCAAAGGGCGUGACACAUGGAGCAGCUCCACUGUUAACACACGAUACGCGCACUUUCUUACCUGUUAAAAACCGCCGAAAUUGUCCAUUUUUGGGCUGUAAAUAAUUGUGGAAAUCGGGGUAACCGUGAGAGACAUUUAUCCUACUUCAGAAUUCCAAAAGUGAAGAGAAAUGAUGGUAGAGAGAAGCGAGAGCUGAAGGGACAACAACAGAUAAAGUGGUUGGCGAACAUUGGCCGUGUAGAUAUCAAGAUUGAAAAUAUUGGGAAUUAUCGUGUUUGCUCACUGCAUUUCAUCAACAGUGAGGCAUUAUUUGUGUUUUUUCUUGAUUCCUUUGGUAUGUAAAAAGUUUCAGAAGUGAAAAAUCUGGCUGUAAAUUUUUUAAAUCACCAAUGGUUCUCAAGUAGGUUUUUACAUGCAAAAAUAAAACGCUUCUGAAGCUAAAUUCAUAAUUAAAAUAAUCGCAAACCAUACGUAGGUAUUGAAUUACAUUUUACUCAGAUGCAAGCCAAGGAAUGGCAUAAUUGUCAGCUGUUAAUUGGACAUAAUCAACAUCAGCAAAUUGACAAUAUCUUUGAAAGGGAGUGGGUGUUGAAGCUGUCAGGACAUUUUAUUAUUUGCCAAAAUAUACAUCUCAAUAGCAUAAUGAUAGAAAACUUACUUUUCCACACACCAGUCUGGAGAUUUUUUAAUGAUAAAUCUGCAGAAUUCAUUGCCACAGACGGCUGUGGAGGCCAAGUCAAUGGAUAAAUGUAAUUGUAAUUG
This is an RNA transcript of Leucoraja erinaceus (little skate), 6835 nucleotides long. It is a transcript of the gene named scavenger receptor cysteine-rich type 1 protein M130-like, with no coding region annotated. NCBI's taxonomy places the organism in Eukaryota, Metazoa, Chordata, Chondrichthyes, Rajiformes, Rajidae. The record is from RefSeq and is a predicted model, not a curated record. The transcript is spliced from 2 exons.